GACGUAGGGCGCGAGCGUUGUCCGGAUUUAUUGGGCGUAAAGAGCUCGUAGGCGGCUUGUCGCGUCGGCUGUGAAAACCCGCGGCUCAACUGCGGGCCUGCAGCCGAUACGGGCAGGCUAGAGUUCGGUAGGGGAGACUGGAAUUCCUGGUGUAGCGGUGAAAUGCGUAGAUAUCGAGAGGAACACCUGCGGCGAAGGCGGGUAGCUGGGCCGACACUGACGCUGAGGCGCGAAAGCCAGGGGAGCGAACGGG
RNAcentral lists this ribosomal RNA (253 nucleotides) under uncultured bacterium. Its description in RNAcentral is "partial 16S ribosomal RNA". It matches the Rfam family "Bacterial small subunit ribosomal RNA", at positions 524 to 776 of the family's 1533-position model. The record is from RNAcentral.